GACGAACGCUGGCGGCGUGCUUAACACAUGCAAGUCGAACGGAAAGGCCUGCUUUCCCUUGUGGAUUGCGGGUACUCGAGUGGCGAACGGGUGAGUAACACGUGAGUGAUCUGCCCCCAACUUGGGUAUAAGCCUGGGAAACUGGGUCUAAUUCCCGAUAGGACUGCAGGGUGGUGCCUGUGGUGGAAAACGAUUUUCUAGUGGUUGGGGAUGAGCUCGCGGCCUAUCAGCUUGUUGGUGGGGUAAUGGCCUACCAAGGCGGCGACAGGUAGCCGGCCUGAGAGGGUGGACGGCCACAGUGGGACUGAGAUACGGCCCAGACUCCUACGGGAGGCAGCAGUGGGGAAUAGUGCACAAUGGGCGGAAGCCUGAUGCAGCGACGCCGCGUGGGGGAUGACGGCCUUCGGGUUGUAAACUCCUUUCGACCGCGAGGAAGCCACCUGGUUGGAAGGGUGGUGACGGUAGUGGUAGAAGAAGCACCGGCUAACUACGUG
RNAcentral lists this ribosomal RNA (494 nucleotides) under uncultured bacterium. Its description in RNAcentral is "partial 16S ribosomal RNA". It matches the Rfam family "Bacterial small subunit ribosomal RNA", at positions 28 to 507 of the family's 1533-position model. The record is from RNAcentral.